Molecule: non-coding RNA, 30 nt
Filed under: Mus musculus (house mouse)
Lineage: Eukaryota; Metazoa; Chordata; Mammalia; Rodentia; Muridae
Source: RNAcentral
UAGACUGUUUUUGUAUACCUCAAACUAUGG